UCCCCUGUAGCUCAGUUGGUAGAGCAGCGCGCUGUUAACGCGCUUGUCCGAGGUUCGAGUCCUCGCGGGGGAGCCA
RNAcentral lists this transfer RNA (76 nucleotides) under Candidatus Omnitrophota bacterium. Its description in RNAcentral is "tRNA-Asn". It matches the Rfam family "tRNA". Rfam says of the family: Transfer RNA (tRNA) molecules are approximately 80 nucleotides in length. Their secondary structure includes four short double-helical elements and three loops (D, anti-codon, and T loops). Further hydrogen bonds mediate the characteristic L-shaped molecular structure. tRNAs have two regions of fundamental functional importance: the anti-codon, which is responsible for specific mRNA codon recognition, and the 3' end, to which the tRNAs corresponding amino acid is attached (by aminoacyl-tRNA synthetases). tRNAs cope with the degeneracy of the genetic code in two manners: having more than one tRNA (with a specific anti-codon) for a particular amino acid; and 'wobble' base-pairing, i.e. permitting non-standard base-pairing at the 3rd anti-codon position. The record is from RNAcentral. Lineage: Bacteria; Pseudomonadati; Candidatus Omnitrophota.